CCCUCAUUUCACCCCUCUCCUUGCUCUUCUCCCUCCUCAUCCUCAGCAGUUCCCCUUUUCUGGAGUUCCCGGGGCUGAUUUUCACUUUCCCACCGCCGUUUUCCGUAAGGAGGGAGCCGGGGAGGGUCUCACAGGCAGGCUGGGUGGUGGGACCAGCUCUGUGAACAUCCUGCACCAGUCACAAACCAGCGUGGCUGCUCUGGUACUCUCCGUGCCUCAGUUUCCCCUCUGUCCAAGGCUGGCUGUGACGUGCCGUGUCCUCCUGCCAGGGUGACCCGUGUGCCCCGUGUGCCACCAUGGCGUCGCGCAUCGGGCUGCGGAUGGAGCUGAUGAAGCAGCAGGCGCAGCAGGAAGCGGAGCGGGAGCGGGUGCAGCAGCAGAUGAUGAUGAGCUACAUGCAGCAGCAGCGCAUGCCCGUGGCCUCCAGCCCCGCCAUCAACACCCCCGUCCACUUCCAGUCCCCGCCGCCCGUGCCCGGAGAGGUGCUCAAGGUCCAGUCCUACCUGGAGAACCCCACCACCUACCACCUGCAGAAGUCUCGGGACAAGAAGGUGCAGGCGUACCUGUCGGAAACCUACGGGAACAAGUUCGCUGCCCACGUCAGCCCCGCCAGCCACUCCCCGAAGCCGCCCCCGGCCGCGUCCCCCGGCGUCCGGCCCGGCCACGUGCUGUCCUCCUCUGCGGGCAACAGCGCUCCCAACAGCCCCAUGGCCAUGCUCAACAUCGGCUCCAACCCCGAGCGCGAGUUCGAUGAGGUCAUCGAUGACAUCAUGCGGCUGGAUGAUGUUUUGGGCUACAUGAACCCCGAAGUGCACAUGCCCAACACGCUGCCCAUGUCCAGCAGCCACAUGAACGUCUACAGUGGGGACCCGCAGGUGACAGCGUCACUCGUCGGUGUCACCAGCAGCUCCUGCCCUGCCGAGCUCACCCAGAAGAGAGAACUCACGGACGCCGAGAGCCGAGCCCUGGCCAAGGAGCGCCAGAAGAAAGACAAUCACAACCUGAUCGAGAGGCGGCGAAGGUUCAACAUCAACGACCGCAUCAAGGAGCUGGGAAUGCUGAUCCCCAAAGCCAACGACCUGGACGUGCGCUGGAACAAAGGGACGAUCCUGAAGGCGUCUGUGGAUUACAUCAAGAGGAUGCAGAAGGACCUGCAGCGGUCCCGGGACCUGGAGAAUCACUCGAGGCGCCUGGAGAUGACGAACAAGCAGCUGCUGCUCCGCAUCCAGGAGCUGGAGAUGCAGGCACGCGUCCACGGGCUGCCCACCUCCUCUCCCUCGGGCGUCAACGUGGCCGAGCUGGCCCAGCAGGUGGUCAAGCAGGAGGCCAGCGGGGACGAGGGGAGCCUGGAGCCGCUGCUGCCCCCCCAGGACCCCGAGUCACAGGCUCAGCCGGCGCUGCCCGCGCCCCCCCAGUCUCCCUACCACCAGCUGGACUUCACCCACAGCCUCAGCUUCGACGACGGCUCCCAGGGCUUCCCCGACAGCCUGGAGCCCGGGCACAGCUCUUCCUUCCCCUCCCUGUCCAAGAAGGAGCUGGACUUGAUGCUGAUGCAGGACACCAUGCUGCCCCUGGCCUCUGACCCCUUGUUCUCAGCCAUGUCCCCCGAGGCCUCCAAGGCCAGCAGUCGCCGGAGCAGCUUCAGCAUGGAGGACACGGACAUGCUGUGACGGGGCAGCGCCAGCUCGGGCUGGGCCAGUCCCGGGACGCUCCUGGCAGGAGGAGCCCGUCCUGCCCUGCACUUGAACCUUCCCAGGAGCACCUUUCUCUAUGCAACGGGGGCUGGGGUCAGGUGCCACCCCGUGUCUUUCGCAGCUUCUUUUUGCCAGGAGCGGGGAUGGACCUGCCUGGCUUGGCAGAUCCCGCAGCCUGCGCCGAGAUCUCGGCUGCUUUGCCUUCCAGCAGAGCCUGCUGGCCUCGCCCCCUUCCCCAGGAGCAGAGGGAGGAUGCUGCCAGCUCUGUGUCCAGUUUGGUGUCUCCUUGCCUUGCUCUGGGAUCCUUCAUCCCCUCUGAGUCUUCCCCAGCCACCCUGGAUGCUCCCCAGUCCAUCCAGUUCCUCCUUCCUGGGAGCACCCGCUGCCUCUGUGGUCACAGGAGGGUUAAUCAGUGUUCACUAGUACGGCACCAUCGGGGUGUUGGCUCAGGUGGGCGCCGAGGGUACCCAGAACUCCUGGGAUGGGGGGUUUGAUGCUCCACCACCCCCCUGCUGUCACCCCCACCACCCCAAAACCUCUGGGCAAGGCUGCCGGGUGACCCUGAGCUGCUCGAGGUGUCCCUGCAGCGUCUCUGCCCCGUGGCACCGAGCCCCAGCCCCUCCCGCCAGGAUGAAAGGGUUUUACACUUCUGCUUUUGGGGGAUACUUCUGGAAAAUCCUGCCCCACGUGGGCGUGAAGCUCCAGGCUGUGACCAGGGAAGGGUUUGUGCCACCUGCCAAACCUGAGCUGCUGCUCCCAGCUUGGAAUCUGGGGGUUGCUCCUCUUCCCAGUGUCACCAGUUUGUUCUGCAGCUCUGUGCUGGGGAGCUGCCUCACUGCUGACCCCCCAGUGCAGCUGGGAGGGAGCUGGGGAGGGCAGGGGAGCACAGGGAAAAUCCAAAUCCUCCCUGGGGUGAGUGAGGGACAGGAGAGGAGACCCUUGGCCAUUGUCCCCCCUGCUGUCCCUGUGGGGCUGGGGGGUCCCUCUGUGCCCCCCAUCCUGCACCUGGGUGUCCUGGGGGGGGGAAAAGAGAUGCCAGAAUUUGGGAUUGGAGGUGGGGGGCAGCCCUGGAGAGGGGCCUGUGGGAUGUGAGGGUGUGGAGAAGUGCAGAAGGUGGGGAGGAAGAGGGAGGAGGAGGAGUUGGAGCAGCCCUGGAGCAGGGCAGGGAGCAGGGAGGGACCUGAGGGGACUCUGGGUGACCAGAGAGGAGUCCAGGUGACCAGAAAGGGGCUCCAGGUGACCAGAGAGGAGUCCAGGUUACCAGGGAAGGGCUCCAGGUGACCAGAGGAGUCCAGGUGACCAGAAAAGGGGUUCCAGGUGACCAGAGAGGGCUCCAGGUGACCAGAGAGGAUUCCAGGUGACCAGGGAAGAGUUCCAGGUGACCAGAGGGGCUCCAGGCGACCGGGGAAGAGUUCCAGGUGAUCAAAAAGGGGCUCCAGGUGAUCAAAAAGGGGCUCCAGGUGACCAGAGGGGCUCCAGGUGACCAGAAAGGGGCUCCAGGUGACCAGAGAGGAGUCCAGGUGACCAGAAAGGGGCUCCAGGUGACCAGAGAGGAGUCCAGGUGACCAGAAAGGGGCUCCAGGUGACCAGAGAAGGGCUCCAGGUGACCAGAGGGGCUCCAGGUGCUCACCUGGAGAAGGAUCCAGGAGACUCUGAGCCCCUUCCAGGACCUGAAGGUCUGAGCUGCAGGGCUGGGGAUGCUCACGGGAGGCCUUGGCACCCUUUGUGUGCUGCCACCAGUGCCUGGAACGAGAAUUGUCCCCUCCAGGGUCACCCCUGGCCCGGCUGGGGACCUGGGCUGUGGGAGAGCCACGGAUCUGAGCCCUCCAGAGGGGUUGUGGGUGCUCCAGGGCAGGAAAUCCCACGGGAAAUUGGGAUUCUUGUGGCUUCAGGGUGCCCUGGCCACUGCCCAGCACGAGAUGUCUCCCCUGGCUGUGAGUAAACAGUUGUGGAUUAUAAUUACUUUUUUUUUUUUAAAUCUUUUCGGGAGUUUUGUUUGUUUUUCU
RNA transcript from Ficedula albicollis (Collared flycatcher), 3700 nucleotides. It is a transcript of the gene named transcription factor EB, with no coding region annotated. The record is from RefSeq and is a predicted model, not a curated record. NCBI's taxonomy places the organism in Eukaryota, Metazoa, Chordata, Aves, Passeriformes, Muscicapidae. The transcript has 9 exons.